Molecule: long non-coding RNA, 4337 nt
Organism: Callithrix jacchus (white-tufted-ear marmoset)
Lineage: Eukaryota; Metazoa; Chordata; Mammalia; Primates; Cebidae
Source: RefSeq, a predicted model, not a curated record
ACUCGAGAGCCUUGGGGUUCACUUUGUGCCACAGGCUGAGUUUGGGCUGGCGAACGCUCUUCUUGGGAGAGUGGAAUUUAAUUGGUGCCUUAUUAAGGAUGACUCCUGGGCCUCCUAAAGUGGAAACCACUCUAACUCCUAAAUGACGGGCAAACACAAACCUGAAUCACACCCCGGACUGCUUUGGCUAAUGGAGAUGCCUGGCAAGUACAAUAUGUUUGGGGCUUUCUUUCCAGUAUCAAAUGGUGGGUAAAAUGGGACAUUUGCCCAGUGAAAAUCAGGCCUAGAUGCAUGGGAACAGGCUUAGCUGCUGCUUGUGUCAACAAGAAGGCUUUUUGUCUGUGCGGAAGUGAAGAAAUGCAGCUCACUUACCGGUCUGGCCAAACUUCAAAAAUUCAUGUUUUUUUUUCCUCCUCCCAGGAACACUUUGUUCCUGCUGAUGGUUAAAAGGUGGCAGCUUUCAUUUAGAAGUGCAGCAGGACGUAUUGAAGUUAGAGAAAAGGAAGGGCUAUGUGACGGAAUGACUGAGUGCAGGACAGGUUCCCAGGGGAUUACAAAAUCUGCUUUUUAUUCAUGGGCUUUCCUGCUAAAUGACUGAAAUAAUGAGGGUGGCAAGAUGUAAGCUUAUAUCACCAUUUUUUAAAGAUCUGUGCUUUGGGAUUCAGAGAAAGUACGAGUGCCUUGUGACCAAGGGGACCUGAGGUGGCUUCAGAGGCUGAGCUGACCUUGGGAUUGGGGUCGGGCUUAGAAAGAGUGGGAAGGCAGUGCAGAGCAAGGCGGAGCAAAGGGCUGGGAAGGACAGAGCAGGUGGGGUGAUCUGGAAUGUGGCCCCUCUGAAGAGGGCCGCGCAGGAUGGUAUUGGCAGGCUAUGACAGGGCUAGAUUAUGGAGAGCCUGGAAAGCUUGUCCAGAGAAUUAGAUUUUACUCAACAAGCCAUGAGAUGCCAUCUUUCCAGGCCUUUGAGCAGGAACGGGAAAUGAUAGAAAGUGUGCUUCAGGGAUCGUGGGCUUUGAGCAACUGAAGGGGUUUUACAGUCAUGUGGUUCAGUGUUUCUCAGACUCUACUGGCGUGAGAAUCAUUGAGAAUACUUGUUAAAAUUCAGAUUCUCAUUUGAAAGUCCUGGUGGGUGGGGCUGGGAAUCUGCAGGUGAACAAAGCCACUGGCCAUCCUGAUACCCGUGGUCUGAGGCCCACACUGGGCAAACACUGCUACCCCUUCGGUGAGCCCUGUCCGAGGGACCCACAGGGUACCGCUGAGCAAAGGAAUCAGCCCUAAAACAAGUUUAGGCCCAGAGAGCUGGACGCUGACUUUGGACAAUGACAGUUGAGUAGGAAGCUCUGUGCCCCUUUUUCUUCCUCUCCCUACACUUCAAUCUUGGAGGACCCUAGAGCCUUGAAAGGCAGAAGGCCAAGGAAAGAAAGAAGUGGAGCACGCCCAGUGUGAUAUUCAGCCAGGACACCACUAUUUUUUGAGCAGCACACUGGCUUUUCAAGGGAAAAGCCCUGCCUUGUAGCAUUUACCCAUUUCCAUGGUGCAAAUACUCCUGGUGUGGCCAUCUCAGGCUGCCAAUGUGACUGAAUGCAGAGUUAGGAAGAGAAGCCCACAGUGGGCUCUUGUGAGCCAGGAGCCUGCUCCAGGAAACUACUGCCUGGAGCUGGAACUCAGACCCAAGCUGGGCUGGAGCGAAUGAUUUGAGUUGAGGACUGAGCUGCUGAACAGUGUAUACAGCUGGACUGUGUUUCAUUACUUAAAGUGACCAUAGGGCUCCCAGAACUUUGGGAGACCAAAGUGGGCCUCUUGAGCCCAGGAGUUCGAUACCAGCCCGGGCAACAUGGUGAAACCCCAUCUCUACAACAAAGACAAGAAUGAGCCGGCCUUGGUGGUGAGCGCCACCAGCAGUCCCAGCUACUUGGGAGGCUGAGGUGGGAGGGUCACCUGAGCCCGGGAAGUCAAGCCUGCAGUGAGUCUGCACCGAGUGAGACCUGGUCUCAAAAUAAGUAAGUAAAACUAAUGUGACCACAGGAAUUUCUGCUACUGCUCGAGUUUUCAUCCACUGGUAAAGAGAAAAAUGGAACAAAUAUCAGUUCAGGGAUAGUGAGAAACCAAAAGUAAAUUCACAUUUUGUUUACAUUCUAAGGAUGGUGCCCGUUACUGUGAGAAAUUAGACCCUGAAAACUGGUAAGAUUUUUUUAAAAAAAGAAUUACCAUCAAAGGGAAAUAUAAAACUGAAAAGUAUUUAUGAAAUCUGAGCCCCCAGAUUGAAAACCAAGAAUGUCAGGUAUUCUGUAGUUAAAAGAGUUUGUUUUGGAGUUUUCUUUGGCGUUCCAAAGCAGAUAUCCUCAAAAGAAAAGCAGCUGUCUGAUUAAAAAACAAAUGAAACUCUGUACUCUGUUCAAAGAUAGUACAGGAAGAACCAACCUUAUAGGUACUCUAUGAGGAUUAAAUAAACACACUUGAAUGUGUCUGAUACACAGAUUAAGUUUGCUGUCAAUUCUUCUGCUUUUUCUUCAGAGCCACAUUUCCCCCCCCCUUCUUUUUUUUAAGACAGAGUCUUACUCUGUCACCAAGGCUGGAGUGCAGUGACAUGAUCUCAGCUUGCCACAAGCUCCGCUUCUCGGGUUCAAGUGAUUUCCCCUGCCUCAGCCUGCCAAGUAGCUGGGAUCACAGGGGUGCAGCACCGCACCUAAUUUUUGAAUUUUUAGUAGAGAUGGGGUUUUGCCAUGUUAGCCAGGCUGGUCUCGAACUCCAGACCUCAGGUGAUCCACACGCCUCGGUCUUCCAAGGUGCUGGGAUUACAGGCGUGAGCCACAGACCAGCACACGUUCACUUUCAGUUAUGCCGGGUUAUGUUCACUCCCUGUUGGGGAGCUUCAUCGUGGUAAUGGGUGCAAGACAGAACAAUUCCUAUUUCCAGUCUAUUCCCGCCCCUCCUCUUUGGAGGAUGAAUGUCACCGGUGAACUUUAGCCUCAGCGGGAGAAGAACCUGCUAAGUCCCUGCGGCAGGUCGGGGACUGAGGAGUGAUCUUAGCUGUUAAAUGGGCUUCCAAGCGUCCUCCGCUAGCUGAACUCUUUGAAGCGUCCACACUUUGUCCCCAGACUUCCAUUAACACGGUUUCUGCUACUAAACACAAUCUGCGUGUAGCCUAAGCCACGGAGGACACCAGAACCACAGCUGCCCUCCGCCGCCAUCCCCGGGGCCUGAGGCUUCGCAUUUCCCACAUUCAAACAGCAGGCUGCGAAGGCACCGGCCGCUCCCCCGGGCCGCGGCUGGAACCACAGGAGUCCCCGUCCGUCCUGAGUGCGGGCAGGAAGAGACUUUCUCCGCGUCUCCCAGCCGCGACUGCAGACCGUCGCUGCCCGCCUGCGGCGACACAGUCCUGCCUUUAGCCACUGGGUCGUCAGGACCUGGAAUGUUCCAGGCUUCCGGGCAGUGCCCACUGCCGUUUCUUCGGAGGAAAAGAUCCACUUUCAAGGGCAGGGUGGUGCCUGCGGCCAGCCUGGACCAGCGCAGAGGGCAGGGACACAGCCGCAGGGCACUGCGCGUCCGCCGCACACACCCCGUGGGGACACGGCCGGGGCCGCGUGGCCUCCACCGCGCGCUGUGAUGACGCCGUCCUCACUGCCGCCGCCUCUGACGUUCAAACCCCUGCGCUUUUGGACUUUGCAGGAGCGCUUGUGAUCAACAGCUCAUCGAAUCUGGUGUCGACAUCGGUGUCGACGUGGUGUCUGGCGCCAGGAGACUGGAUGGGAUCACUAAAGGCGCGCGUCCAUUAAGAAGAAAGACUCAAGCGGCCGGGCAAGGAGAGAAACAGCAGACUGCGAGCCGGACCGGGUAAAAUGGCGGCAGGCUCUGCGCAGGCGCAGGCGCAGGCGCAGGAGCAGGUUUGACGCCUGCGGACGGACCGGAUAGAGCGGGCGAAAGCCGACUGAGGAGACUCAAUUUGUCUGGGCUUGCGUCUGCACUCGUCGUCUCCCACAUGGUCUAGCGGUUAGGAUUCCUGGUUUUCACCCAGGCGGCCCGGGUUCGACUCCCGGUGUGGGAACGCCAAGAUUUUAGAAUGCUGCUUAGAGAGACAGCCAUGGUAGAUGGGGGAGCAGUCAACAGAAUCUAUCCUGAUCUAAGAAAGCUUGCGAUUUUGCACCUCGUGUACUCAUUAAGAAAAUAAUCUAAGGUGGGGUAAGAACGGGACCCACUUCCCGGGGCUGUGAAGAUUGAAUGACAUGAUGCACGUGAAGGGCUAAGUUAAGGCCAGCACCAGCACCAGCACCAUCGUCAUCGUCACCGCGUGUUUAGUCCCUCCUUCUCCUGCCCACAUCUAAUUAAAGCUUAUUUUAUUA